RNAcentral lists this ribosomal RNA (459 nucleotides) under uncultured bacterium. RNAcentral's name for it is "partial 16S ribosomal RNA". It matches the Rfam family "Bacterial small subunit ribosomal RNA", at positions 338 to 795 of the family's 1533-position model. The record is from RNAcentral.
CCUACGGGAGGCAGCAGUGAGGAAUCUUGGUCAAUGGGCGCGAGCCUGAACCAGCCAAGUCGCGUGAGGGAAGACGGUCCUAUGGAUUGUAAACUUCUUUUGUCGGGGAGCACGAGACGCCACGCGUGGCGUUCCGAGAGUACCCGAAGAAAAAGCAUCGGCUAACUCCGUGCCAGCAGCCGCGGUAAUACGGAGGAGGCGAGCGUUAUCCGGAUUUAUUGGGGUUAAAGGGUGCGCAGGCGGAAGAUCAAGUCAGCGGUAAAAUUGAGAGGCUUAACCUCAUCGAGCCGUUGAAACUGGUUUACUUGAGUGAAUGAGAGGUAUGCGGAAUGCGUGGUGUAGCGGUGAAAUGCGUAGAUAUCACGCAGAACUCCGAUUGCGAAGGCAGCAUACCGGCGCUCAACUGACGCUCAUGCACGAAAGUGUGGGUAGCGAACAGGAUUAGAUACCCUUGUAGUC